GGAAAAGCACGUCGGAGGUUCGGCUCCGUUAAAAACGAAACUUAAAUUUAAACGCUAACAAUAGCAAAAACUACAGCGCUCCCGUAGCGCUCGCUGCUUAAUCUUAAUUUAAGCACCGUUUCUCUUUCCGUUGCCCACGGCGGAGAAAGAAACGCCAUUUCAAGUGGGGUAUCGCCCAGACGGAAUAACCUUCUUCCGCCCGUCGCGGGACUUUGAAGGCGUGGGAUAAAAGAGUUCGUUUGCGGAAUCUUUUUCCCGAAAUCAAACGCAAACUAAACGUGUAGAAAGCCUUUCUUACGGCGGUAAGACCGCGGUUCAACUCCGCGCUGGUCCACCA
This 337-nucleotide transfer-messenger RNA is filed under the name human gut metagenome. It matches the Rfam family "transfer-messenger RNA". From Rfam's summary of the family: Bacterial tmRNA, also known as 10Sa RNA or SsrA, is named for its dual tRNA and mRNA-like properties. Its role is to liberate the mRNA from a stalled ribosome. The record is from RNAcentral.